GGUGGGAUAGCUCAGUGUACAGUGCAUGCUUAGCAUGCAUGAGGUCCUGGGUUCAAACCCCAGUACCGCCA
RNAcentral lists this transfer RNA (71 nucleotides) under Camelus bactrianus (Bactrian camel). It matches the Rfam family "tRNA". Rfam says of the family: Transfer RNA (tRNA) molecules are approximately 80 nucleotides in length. Their secondary structure includes four short double-helical elements and three loops (D, anti-codon, and T loops). RNAcentral also lists the same sequence under 1 other name. The record is from Rfam by way of RNAcentral. Lineage: Eukaryota; Metazoa; Chordata; Mammalia; Artiodactyla; Camelidae.